This 28-nucleotide non-coding RNA is filed under the name Bombyx mori (domestic silkworm). Lineage: Eukaryota; Metazoa; Arthropoda; Insecta; Lepidoptera; Bombycidae. The record is from RNAcentral.
UGAUCCUAUGGUGCUCGACGCUCCCGGC